AUAAUCAUGGACCAAAUCAUGACGUACAUUUCACCAAUUUUAAGAUUAAAGGUUGAAUUGUACAUUGAGAAAUUCAAACCAAAUCAUAUAGUUUGGUCUAGAUGAUAUUGAUUUAAGAUUUUUUCAGUUUUUUUGUCAGAUCUAAAACUCAAGUCAACUUCUCAAAACAAGGCAACUUCUCAUUUUUUCAAUUUUUCUGUGUGCAGUACUAGUAGCAAGUCAACUUGUAAGAUUUCCAUACAGAUGUGAAUUGCAUCACACAUUAACGUGUAUUUUAACGAUUAAUAAACUUGUAAUGCGAUGAUUCUGACAAUAGAAUUGAUCAAUUCUAUAUAUUUUAAUUAUUGAUGAGCUUAGAGUUCUCAGAUCUUAGAUCUGCAUUUUUUUAACUUCUAGUGAAGAAGUGAAGCUAAAUCAGAAGAGAAAGCAGAGUUACAAGCAGGGAGGUUCUUGCAUUGCAUGAAUAAAAUGAGAAUGAAAGUAAUCCAGAUUUAUUCCCCAUGAUGCUUUCAUUUCUUAUAUUUGGUAAAGACACAAGUUUUUAAAUUUUGAAUGUGAAUUUACUACCUGUAUUUUAAUGCAGAUUUUGAUUUACUACUUGGCAUGUAAGUUUGUAUCCUGGAUCUGUUGUUAGGUUUUGUUCAUCACUCUAUCACCUACAUGGGAGGCCAAUCAGAGAAUUGUUAGAGACUUGCCUUAUAUCUCUUUUCUAAGACACACAAGCUUAAUUGAUAUAAUCUAGAAACCUCUGCAAGUUUGCAACUAUUGCCAAUUGAUUUUGGGUUAAAUGCCUCCAAAAUUCAACUCAAGCCUUAAAACAUAAGCAUAACAACUGACCACUCAGUUGAUAUUGAUAUUUUCAGCUCAUGGAAUUUAUGAUAUAUUGUAUCAUUUGCUUUCAGCUUAUGAUGCUCAUAGAUUAUGGUGGCUCGAUUUUUCCAAUCAUUGCUCAUUUCCCAUGGAAUGGUGUACACUUGGCAGACUUUGUGAUGCCUUUCUUCCUUUUCAUUGCUGGGGUUUCUCUUGCACUUGGAUAUAAGAUAAUGAUUAUUGAGGAAGUCAAUCAUUCAGCAAUAAGACUCCCCUUUUUUUUAAUGUCAGAGAGUUUCAGACAGAGUAGAUGCUACACAGAAAGCAUGGCUUAGGGCGUUGAAGCUUUUUUUCCUUGGUGUUUUUCUUCAAGGUAAUAUUGUGCACAACUUUCAACUUACGUCCUAUAAUACAUAAAUGUAUCUAAUUGGGCAGGGCAAAACACUUCGGGCAACUAUAUAUAGACUUCCAACAAUCUGUGAUGGAUGGCAAGUUUAUUGUGGAAGACUUUUUCAUUCUGUAUGUUAAGUAAGUCAAUCACUCAAUUCCACUUUAACUACAGAAGAAGAAUUCUUGUAGUUAACAUUCCUGGACCCUUUGUGGCCCUCAGCAACUGUUUUUUAUUUCUAGUGGUCAAUACUGCAUUUGACAUUAUGUUUUAUUUAGAACAUUCAUUUACCAUGAAUGAUGGGAGUAUAAUUGCUGCAAAUGUUAAAAAUAAUAAGCUUAUUAUCUACAUCCAUUUUGGUCAUUGCUGUCACAACUCACCAAGCUAAUGGUCCAGUUUUCCAUUUUUUGCAUUGUAGGUUGUUGCUCUCUCUCUCUCUCUUCAAAAUUUUUUUAAAUCCCAUUUGUGCAGCAGCCACAAUAUUUGUUCCUUCCCAUUCUCAUUGACUGCAUGCUUUGGUUCUUACCAUGAGAUGUUGUAGUGUUAUAACUGGUUUGGCUGCUGUCCGUGGGUCACAGCCAGUUUUUGAUCCGAGCAUAAUUCUAGGGAUACAGUGAAUUGCCAUGUUAAGGUGAUCAUUGCAAAGCCCAUGGGUGGGAAUGAGCAUGGUAUUCAUCUUUUUAGUUAAUCUCUGUUAAUUUCUAUUCAAAUAACUUCAAGCUUGUGAUCUUGAGAACAGUUCUGUAUAUUUGUUAAGUUUCUGAUAUUUGGCUUUAAGUUUAUAAUAAAACUUUGCUAUUAUAAUCUAUUCUAUUAUUAAAAGCCAACACCAAUUUUGGUGUCAUGAAGCCCAACUUUUAUCUCCAGCUUUUGUCACCUGUAAUUAGAUAAUAAAAAUAAAUAAAUAAAUAAAUAUAUCCACAUCCACCCCACCCCACCCCACCCAACCCAC
This is a non-coding RNA of Camellia sinensis, 2150 nucleotides long. The record is from RefSeq and is a predicted model, not a curated record. Lineage: Eukaryota; Viridiplantae; Streptophyta; Magnoliopsida; Ericales; Theaceae.